This 432-nucleotide ribosomal RNA is filed under the name uncultured bacterium. Its description in RNAcentral is "partial 16S ribosomal RNA". It matches the Rfam family "Bacterial small subunit ribosomal RNA", at positions 29 to 506 of the family's 1533-position model. The record is from RNAcentral.
AACGAACGCUGGCGGCAUGCCUAACACAUGCAAGUCGAACGAGACCUUCGGGUCUAGUGGCGCACGGGUGCGUAACGCGUGGGAACCUGCCCUUAGGUUCGGAAUAACUCCCCGAAAGGGGUGCUAAUACCGGAUAAUGUCUUCGGACCAAAGAUUUAUCGCCUUUGGAUGGGCCCGCGUUGGAUUAGCUAGUUGGUAGGGUAAAAGCCUACCAAGGCGACGAUCCAUAGCUGGUCUGAGAGGAUGAUCAGCCACACUGGGACUGAGACACGGCCCAGAACGCACGGGGAGGGAGGAGGGGGGAAAUUUGGAAAGUGGGCGAAAGCCUGAUCCAGAAAUGCCGGGUGGGUGAAGAAGGCCUUGGGGUUGAAAAGCUCUUUUACCCGGGAUGAUAAGGACGGAACGGGGAGAAAAAGCCCGGGCAAACUCGGG